Molecule: ribosomal RNA, 251 nt
Filed under: uncultured prokaryote
Description: partial 16S rRNA
Rfam family: Bacterial small subunit ribosomal RNA
Source: RNAcentral
ACGGAGGUUCCAAGCGUUGUUCGGAAUUACUGGGCGUAAAGGGAGCGCAGGCGGACAAGUCAGUUUGAAGUGGAAAUCCGGGGCUCAACCUCGGACUUGCUUCGGAUACUACUUGUCUUGAGUUCGUGAGAGGAAGAUGGAAUUCAGGGUGUAGCGGUGAAAUGCACAGAUAUCCUGAGGAACACCGGUGGCGAAAGCGGUCUUCUGGCACGAAACUGACGCUGAGGCUCGAAAGCGUGGGUAGCAAACGG